RNAcentral lists this ribosomal RNA (452 nucleotides) under uncultured Erysipelothrix sp. Its description in RNAcentral is "bacterial SSU rRNA". It matches the Rfam family "Bacterial small subunit ribosomal RNA", at positions 923 to 1382 of the family's 1533-position model. The record is from RNAcentral. Lineage: Bacteria; Bacillati; Bacillota; Erysipelotrichia; Erysipelotrichales; Erysipelotrichaceae.
GCACAAGCGGUGGAGUAUGUGGUUUAAUUCGAAGCAACGCGAAGAACCUUACCAGGUCUUGACAUGGUGUUUAAGGCCCUAGAGAUAGGGAGAUAAUAAACACACACAGGUGGUGCAUGGUUGUCGUCAGCUCGUGUCGUGAGAUGUUGGGUUAAGUCCCGCAACGAGCGCAACCCUUGUCUUUAGUUACCAUCAUUCAGUUGGGGACUCUAGAGAGACUGCCGGUGAUAAACCGGAGGAAGGUGGGGAUGACGUCAAAUCAUCAUGCCCCUUAUGACCUGGGCUACACACGUACUACAAUGGCGCAUACAACGAGCUGCGAGAUGGUGACAUCAAGCGAAUCUCUUAAAAUGCGUCUCAGUUCAGAUUGGAGUCUGCAACUCGACUCCAUGAAGUCGGAAUCGCUAGUAAUCGCGGAUCAGCAUGCCGCGGUGAAUACGUUCUCGGGGUUU